Peromyscus maniculatus bairdii (prairie deer mouse) is the source of this 2817-nucleotide non-coding RNA. NCBI's taxonomy places the organism in Eukaryota, Metazoa, Chordata, Mammalia, Rodentia, Cricetidae. The record is from RefSeq and is a predicted model, not a curated record.
CUACAACAGUCUGGGUUGUAAGUGAUGAGUCUUGCUUUGAGAACACAAGGUGAUGGCCUCUCUUUCUCAGCUUGUCUCUAUCCAGAGGUCUGCCUCCAGGUUCUGACUGAAUAUUGUGAUGUUCUGUUCCAAAACAAAGGGUCUCUCACUGAACCUGGAGCUCACCAACUCAGCUAGACUAGCUGACCAAUGAGCCUCAAGGAUCCUCUUGUCUCCACCUUCCCAAGACUGGGAUUGCAAACAUGUACUAUUGUACUCAGAAUUUUUCUACAGGGGUGCUGAAGAUUGAACUAACUCAGCUGUUGCUCAUGCUUGCACAGCAAGAAUUCUACCACCUGAACCACCCCUCCAGGGUAUCUGAGCUACCAUGCCCGUCUCUGGGCAGAUGGAGAAGUGAGAAUUGAUGUAAUAAAGCCUCGCUUUGUUUGAUUACAAAGCACGAUGCUUUCUUUCCAUUCUGCUUUUCCACUCAGCACUGGUCCUGAGAAUGGGGACAGAGAAGAUAAACCGAGGUUCACCCAAACCAAGGACAGAUAUGGCGGGAACAGAGUGUCAAGAAUUCUCUCCGUCCAGUGUCAUUUGGCAGUUACAGCAUCUAGGAGAAGACUCAGUGGACCCUUCCCUGUCUCUCUAGUGGCUGCCAGCCCCUAUCUGUGCCACUUAGUGACUGCACCACCGAAGAGAGAGCUGCCAUUUCUUCCUCAGCAAAGAAAGACACGUAACACCUGCUACAAUAGAACCAGGCAGACAGUGAAUUCUACAGUGCGGUCUAGAAAGGCGUUGUAGCUACAAAUUCAAAAAUACCACCUAUUUUUUCCUCAUUCCUCAUACCUUGGGCUUUGCAAGCAUUUUUAGAGACCCAGUAAUAAGUAUUUUCAGUUUUUCAGGAUAUGUAUUUACUCUGUCACAACUUCUCAAAGGUGCCUUUCUAGUGGAAAAUGUAGUUAUAGACAACAUGUCCCCAGAUGGAAUUUUAUUCCAGUAAAACUUGGCAAAAAAACGAUGUUUGACCAGAUUUGGCCCAUGGGCCAUACCAUACAUGCAAAUCUCUGUGGUACACGUUUGGUAAAAACAAAACACAGAGGUAGAGAGAAAUAUCUAAACUUGUUUUCGGGCAUAAAGAAUGAAACUGGUGAGUUUUGUGAGACCUCCAGAUGUCUCCUUAAGGUACCAUUUGAAAUUAGGGUUGCAACCCUGCCCAGUAUCCUCACCACCAUCAGGAGAGGCAUAAAGCAAUCCCAAUUUUCUAUACCUUCCUCUGGACCACACUCAUCUCUGGGAAAGACAGGUCUGAUAUUGUUAAAGAAAAUAUCAAUCACACUUGUGGUAAAAGGUCACUACAUUUUUUAAAGAAAUUGGUCCUUUGAGCAAGAUGAAUUUUAAUGGAUUGGUUUAUUAACCUAAAGGUUGAACCAGACUGAGAGUAACUAAAUGAUUUGUUCAUAAUUAGUAUUAUUUAUAAUUAUUUUACUUGGGGAAAAAAUAUCACCUUAAAUGUCAGGAUGUUUUUUAAUUGCCUCAGAUGAGAUUCAAAAUAAUUGACUUUGCAAAUGUAUUCUUAAAAAAAAACUCAUUUAAAAAUAUCUGAAACUGCUGACAGUUUGUCUUGAAGAGGCAGCACAUCGAUAUUCAUCACUACGGACAGAGCAGAAAUUGAUCCAUGAUUUUUUUAAGCCAUGUGACUUGUGGUCACUUCUGUAUUCUAGAACCACUAGAAUGCCAAGGGAGAGACACAUAUUCUUAUUCUUCAUGAAAUCUGCACUUUGAGUGUACUAUGUGAAUAUUUAUACAUAGUUCCCAUUAAAUGCAGAAUGAAUGUGUUUUCAAGGGAAAGGAAUGUAUGUAUAUGCACACAUACACACACACAUAUAGAUGUACAUAUAUGUACAUGUACAUGCAUAUGCAAAUGUGUGUGCAUGUGUCUGUGCUUGGUAAUUUUAGAAAAAUACAGUCUUCUACAUAGUGUACAUUUGGACAGGAUAUUAACUUCUGGCAGGUGAAUAGGUAUGUGACUUAAACUUAGCAUCUUUGUAAAUAUUCACUGCAUCAUUUGAUUGGUGGACAUGAAGAGGAGAGGAGAAAGCUUCCUUUUGUUGGCAGCUGGAACAAAAGCUUAAACUAAUCUUGAGGUGUGGGGCAAUCACUAGAAAUGGCACAUUGGAGUCAUGAUGAUUGCACAGUGCUAGCCAAGUCACAAACUGUUGAUGUCUGCAGGUCAAUGGUGCACUUCAAACGUACAUUGAGAUGCAAGGAGGAAGAUCUGUGAGAACUCUAGGUGGCUGAUGAAAGAGAGCUAUCAACCCUUUACAAAUGGUCUGCACUGCCUUCCCCAUAUGCCACACUGACGCUCAAAGCUGAGAGAGAGGGGAUAGAAUUUGGCUACAGGUGUCAGAGCCCGUUGAAGUUCUCGAAGGUGACCGCCACCAGCCUGACCCAGACCACAGACCCAACUUUAUGUCUGACACAUCGCAUUUUGGUGAAAAAAAAAAAUCACAAGUGACCUGGAAAGAACAUUCUAGAAAGGGGAGAGAGUGACGGGAUUAUUAUUAUCACAGCCUGUCAUUUGCUUCUUCAAAACAGUCCAACCAUAUGCCCAAGACAUGACACUGACUCCUGUGUCCAGGACACAGAAAACUCACGCCCCCAGGCACCAUGUAGAAGCCAUCAAUCACUUGUCUGCAUGAGAAAUAGAAAAUAGAGCUGAGGCUGGAAAAAGAAUAUUUGUUUCUGUCAAAAAAAAAAAAAGGAGUGAAUAUGAAGUGUCUCAUUUAUCAAAGAGAUUAGUUCUAAAAGUCUGGGGAGUUACAUGUAUAAAUU